This 71-nucleotide transfer RNA is filed under the name Pneumocystis sp. 'ludovicianus'. Its description in RNAcentral is "tRNA-Gly". It matches the Rfam family "tRNA". Rfam says of the family: Transfer RNA (tRNA) molecules are approximately 80 nucleotides in length. Their secondary structure includes four short double-helical elements and three loops (D, anti-codon, and T loops). The record is from RNAcentral. Lineage: Eukaryota; Fungi; Ascomycota; Pneumocystomycetes; Pneumocystales; Pneumocystaceae.
GCAGAUAUAAGUUAACGGUAGACUACGUGCCUUCCAAGCAUUUUGUGCUCGUUCGAAUCGAGUUAUCUGCA